RNAcentral lists this ribosomal RNA (497 nucleotides) under uncultured bacterium. RNAcentral's name for it is "partial 16S ribosomal RNA". It matches the Rfam family "Bacterial small subunit ribosomal RNA", at positions 28 to 507 of the family's 1533-position model. The record is from RNAcentral.
GAUGAACGCUGGCGGCGUGCCUAAUACAUGCAAGUCGAGCGAACGGACGAGAAGCUUGCUUCUCUGAUGUUAGCGGCGGACGGGUGAGUAACACGUGGAUAACCUACCUAUAAGACUGGGAUAACUUCGGGAAACCGGAGCUAAUACCGGAUAAUAUUUUGAACCGCAUGGUUCAAAAGUGAAAGACGGUCUUGCUGUCACUUAUAGAUGGAUCCGCGCUGCAUUAGCUAGUUGGUAAGGUAACGGCUUACCAAGGCAACGAUGCAUAGCCGACCUGAGGGGGUGAUCGGCCACACUGGAACUGAGACACGGUCCAGACUCCUACGGGAGGCAGCAGUAGGGAAUCUUCCGCAAUGGGCGAAAGCCUGACGGAGCAACGCCGCGUGAGUGAUGAAGGUCUUCAGAUCGUAAAACUCUGUUAUUAGGGAAGAACAUAUGUGUAAGUAACUGUGCACAUCUUGACGGUACCUAAUCAGAAAGCCACGGCUAACUACGUG